CAACAUGCGUGCGAGUCUUGGGGUGGCAAACCCAUCGGCGCAAUGAAGGUGAAGGCAGAUUUUGGUCUGCUCAGGCAGGAGCCUCCCUGGAGGCACACUGUCGACCGAUCCCAGGCUACGCUGUGGCGGGAUUUGAGUAAGAGCGUGCCUGUUGCGACCCGAAAGAUGGUGAACUAUGCCUGAAUAGGGUGAAGCCAGAGGAAACUCUGGUGGAAGCUCGUAGCGAUUCUGACGUGCAAAUCGAUCGUCAAAUUUGGGUAUAGGGGCGAAAGA
Molecule: ribosomal RNA, 273 nt
Filed under: Tethya sp. 6 JV-2020
Lineage: Eukaryota; Metazoa; Porifera; Demospongiae; Tethyida; Tethyidae
Description: partial large subunit ribosomal RNA
Rfam family: Eukaryotic large subunit ribosomal RNA
Source: RNAcentral